GACGAACGCUGGCGGCGUGCUUAACACAUGCAAGUCGAACGAAGAGCGAUGGAAGCUUGCUUCUAUCAAUCUUAGUGGCGAACGGGUGAGUAACGCGUAAUCAACCUGCCCUUCAGAGGGGGACAACAGUUGGAAACGACUGCUAAUGCCGCAUACGAUCUAAUCUCGGCAUCGAGGAUAGAUGAAAGGUGGCCUUUACAUGUAAGCUUUCACUGAAGGAGGGGAUUGCGUCUGAUUAGCUAGUUGGGGGGGUAAGGGCCUACCAAGGCGAUGAUCAGUAGCCCGUCUGAGAGGGUGAACUGCCCCAUCGGGACUGCGACCCGGCCCAGAAUCCUAAGGGGGGCAGCAGGGGGGAAUCUUCCGCAAUGGACGCAAGUCUGACCGAGCAACGCCGCGUGAGGGAUGACGGCCUUCGGGUUGUAAAGCUCUGUUAAUCGGGACGAAAGGCCUUCUUGCGAAUAGUGAGAAGGAUUGACGGUACCGGAAUAGAAAGCCACGGCUAACUACGUG
This 510-nucleotide ribosomal RNA is filed under the name uncultured bacterium. Its description in RNAcentral is "partial 16S ribosomal RNA". It matches the Rfam family "Bacterial small subunit ribosomal RNA", at positions 28 to 507 of the family's 1533-position model. The record is from RNAcentral.